UUGUGUCUGGGGCCAGCUGAGCUGAACGUGGGCUCCUUUGCGGCUUCUCCAUCGCUGGCCAGCAGGCUGGCCUUCUGUUUCUCCUCCGGAAACCUUGCACACUCCUUUGAUUCAUGGUGUUAAUGGAAAACCUGUAGCUGGUGGUCCGUACAUCUGCUGGAGAAACAUUUUUCACAGAACUCAUCUCAUCUGGGGACCAUGUGUCCAGGAGAGUUACCAGUUUUGGGCAAAGGGCACAUCCAGACCCACGUGCCAGCGUUACCCUCUGGGACAUCUGGUUACCAACUAAUGACAGGCAGCCAGAUGUGCACGUGGUUUCCACAGUGUGGUGAACCAACUUGGACAUGAUACCCUCAGAGGUCUGACUGCCUCACAGCACGUCAGGACCGUUGGCCCAGGACUCAGGAGGAGUCUGGUCGUCUGCCUGCCUAGAACCUAUUGCUUGACCUUGGAUAAGUCGCUUUCCCUGUCCAGGCAUUGUGUCCCUCCGCUCUAAGGGAGGGAGACAGAAUUCAGUCCACGAGGCCCAGGCACCCACUGAGCCUGCGCGUGGAACUAAGACCUUACGGUCCCG
Prionailurus viverrinus (fishing cat) is the source of this 574-nucleotide long non-coding RNA. RefSeq lists it as uncharacterized. The transcript is spliced from 3 exons. Lineage: Eukaryota; Metazoa; Chordata; Mammalia; Carnivora; Felidae. The record is from RefSeq and is a predicted model, not a curated record.